UACGUAGGAGGCAAGCGUUGUCCGGAGUUACUGGGCGUAAAGCGCACGCAGGCGGUCUCUUAAGUUUGUAGGGACAGGGCACAGCUUAACUGUGUCAGGCUUAUGAAAACUGGGAGACUUGAGGGCUUCAGAGGGAUGGGGAAUUCCGGGUGGAGUGGUGAAAUGCGUAGAGAUCCGGAAGAACACCAAAGGCGAAGGCACCAUCCUGGGGAGUCACUGACGCUCGGGUGCGAAAGCCAGGGGAG
Molecule: ribosomal RNA, 245 nt
Filed under: uncultured bacterium
Lineage: Bacteria
Description: partial 16S ribosomal RNA
Rfam family: Bacterial small subunit ribosomal RNA
Source: RNAcentral